RNAcentral lists this ribosomal RNA (660 nucleotides) under Stenotrophomonas sp. RNAcentral's name for it is "bacterial SSU rRNA". It matches the Rfam family "Bacterial small subunit ribosomal RNA", at positions 89 to 744 of the family's 1533-position model. The record is from RNAcentral. Lineage: Bacteria; Pseudomonadati; Pseudomonadota; Gammaproteobacteria; Lysobacterales; Lysobacteraceae.
UGGCGAGUGGCGGACGGGUGAGGAAUACAUCGGAAUCUACUUUUUCGUGGGGGAUAACGUAGGGAAACUUACGCUAAUACCGCAUACGACCUACGGGUGAAAGCAGGGGAUCUUCGGACCUUGCGCGAUUGAAUGAGCCGAUGUCGGAUUAGCUAGUUGGCGGGGUAAAGGCCCACCAAGGCGACGAUCCGUAGCUGGUCUGAGAGGAUGAUCAGCCACACUGGAACUGAGACACGGUCCAGACUCCUACGGGAGGCAGCAGUGGGGAAUAUUGGACAAUGGGCGCAAGCCUGAUCCAGCCAUACCGCGUGGGUGAAGAAGGCCUUCGGGUUGUAAAGCCCUUUUGUUGGGAAAGAAAUCCAGCCGGCUAAUACCUGGUUGGGAUGACGGUACCCAAAGAAUAAGCACCGGCUAACUUCGUGCCAGCAGCCGCGGUAAUACGAAGGGUGCAAGCGUUACUCGGAAUUACUGGGCGUAAAGCGUGCGUAGGUGGUUGUUUAAGUCUGUUGUGAAAGCCCUGGGCUCAACCUGGGAACUGCAGUGGAAACUGGACAACUAGAGUGUGGUAGAGGGUAGCGGAAUUCCCGGUGUAGCAGUGAAAUGCGUAGAGAUCGGGGAGGAACAUCCAUGGCGAAGGCAGCUACCUGGACCAACACUGAC